AUGUCACUUUCCAAGAAGCCUGUUUCCCGGCCGGCCGACCUCGAAGGCCUCGCCACACUCGCUCACCAGACCGCGCUCACCGCUGCCUGGUAUUUUCUUGCUGAUCAGUUCACUAAUGGUCUGCUCCCUCCCCCAGAGCAGGGGCCUUGCCUGUCUUGUUCCCCGGGACAUUCGGGUGCCUGGAUCCUGGGCUCUGUAAGCGCCUGUGGACGGGACAUCGACUGCUACGGCCCGGGGAGGUUGGAGCCUCCAUCCCCACGGAGGAAACCGAGCCUGGAGAGGCUAAGGCCAGGCUCCUCCCGGGACACAUGGCAAGACCACGAGGGCACGUCGGUCCACCACGCUCCUGUCACCACUCCCUACGCCACUCAGGGUGACUGCCACCCCCAUGGCUCGGGCGUCACUUCAGGAGGCUGUGUGACACGCAGUUACUGUCCCCCAUGGGGACAAUGACGCACCCACCCCUAGGGUUGGAAGAAGGAUCAGUGAACCAGGACACGCCACGUGCCCACAG
Molecule: long non-coding RNA, 514 nt
Filed under: Ictidomys tridecemlineatus (thirteen-lined ground squirrel)
Lineage: Eukaryota; Metazoa; Chordata; Mammalia; Rodentia; Sciuridae
Description: lncRNA (ENSSTOG00000030012.1)
Source: RNAcentral